GACGAACGCUGGCGGCGUGCUUAACACAUGCAAGUCGAACGGACAGGCGCUGCUUUUGCUGCGUUCUCGAGUGGCGAACGGGUGAGUAUCACGCGAGUAUCCUGCCCCUGACUUUGGGAUAACUUCAGGAAAAUGCGGCUCUUACCGGGUAGGAUCUCCUGCUGCAUGGGGGUGGAUGGAAAGUUACGGCGGUGUUGGAUGGGCUCGCAGGUUAUGAGCUUCAUGGGCGAGUAGUGGCUUACCAAGCCUUUGACGGGUAGCCGGCCUGGGAGGGUGACCGGGGACCAGGGGACUGAGAGACGGCGCAGUAUGCUACGUGAGGCAGCGGUGGGAAGUAUGACACAAUGGGCGGAAGCCUGAUGCGGAGGCGCCGGGAGCGUGAUGACGGCCUACGGGUUGUGAACCGCUUUCGCCGGUGACGAAGCGUGAGUGACGGUAAUGGGUCAAGAAGCAACGGCUAACUACGUG
Molecule: ribosomal RNA, 468 nt
Filed under: uncultured bacterium
Lineage: Bacteria
Description: partial 16S ribosomal RNA
Rfam family: Bacterial small subunit ribosomal RNA
Source: RNAcentral